Molecule: non-coding RNA, 1508 nt
Organism: Prunus mume (Japanese apricot)
Lineage: Eukaryota; Viridiplantae; Streptophyta; Magnoliopsida; Rosales; Rosaceae
Source: RefSeq, a predicted model, not a curated record
AUGGGGCAGUGGAAUAAACUGUUGGACAUGGAGGAGGCCAAGAACCAGGUCUUGUUUUUCUUGCCAAUGAUUCUUACCAAUGUUUGCUAUUACACGAUCCCCUUGAUAUCUGUCAUGUUUGCUGGUCACCUUGGUGAGCUUGAGCUUGCUGGUGCCACACUUGCCAAUUCAUGGGCCACCAUUACCGGUUUCGCUCUCAUGGUUGGGUUAAGUGGAGCUCUUGAGACGCUUUGUGGACAAAGGUUUGGUGCAAAGUUGUAUAAAAUGUUGGGGAUCUAUCUACAAGCCUCUUGCAUCAUAUCUUUCCUAUUCUGUUUCAUCAUAUCUAUAAUCUGGUUCUACACAGAACCUAUACUUAUUGUACUCCAUCAAGAUCCUCAAAUUUCCAAGUCUGCUGCUGUUUUUAUGAAAUUUCUGAUUCCAGGGUUAUUUGCAUAUGGAUUCCUGCAAAACAUCUUGAGAUUUCUUCAGGCACAAUUUGUUGUCCUGCCAUUGGUCCCCCUUAUUAUUCAUUUCGGCAUUGCUUAUGGUUCGGUACAUUGGACAGCUCUUGGUUAGAAGGGAGCUCCACUUGCGGCUUCAAUUUCGUUAUGGUUAUCUGCCCAUGUAUGUCAUCUGCUCAAAGAAGUUUGAGCAUACAUGGGAAGGCUUUUCGUUAGAAUCGUUCCAUUAUGUCCUUACUGAUUUGAAACUUACCCUCCCUCAGCACUAAUGGUAUGUUUGGAGGAAUGGGUUUUUGAGAUUCUGGUGUUGAUGGGAGGAUUGAUGCCAAACUCGGAAGAAACAACUUCACUAAUGGCGAUGUGUGUGAAUACAGAAGCAAUUGCAUACAUGAUUAUAUGUGGCCUCAGUGCUGCUGCAAGCACAAGGGUGUCAAAUGACUUGGGAGCUGGCAAUCCUGACAAAACUAAGAAGGCAAUGGCUGCGACUCUUAAGCUCUCUAUGCUUCUUGCUUUCGUUCUUGUUCUCACUCUAGUGGUCGGUCACAAUAACUGGGUCGGCUUCUUCAGUGACAGCCACAUAAUAGCAGAGCAAUUUGCUUCCAUGGUGCCUUUGCUUGUAAUUUCAAUAAUUGUAGAUUCUGUGCAAAGUGUUUUAUCAGGUGUGGCCAGAGGAUGUGGAUGGCAACACUUGACUGUGUAUGUAAACAUUGUCACAUUCUAUUUGAUUGGCAUGACAAUUUCCAGUCUUCUUGAGUUUAAGUUCAAACUACAUGCCAAGGGCUUGUGGAUUGGUUUAACCUGUGGUCUCUCCUGUCAAGCUGCCACAGUUUUGUAUAUUACACAGAGCACAAAGUAGACUGUGUUGGAUUUAUCUGAUAUUGCAGAGAGAGAAAAGCCAGUUUUGGUGUAAACAAGUAAUACCACUUGGGCCAACUGUGAGACUAGUUUGUGCAUUGCCUUUGUGGUGUGUUGAAGUAAAGCCGAAAGCAUGUACUUUGUUAACAAAUUUUUAUGCCCUUAAAUUUGACUUAGCUUUGAAAGCACAAAUGCCCUUAAAUGAAAGAA